This 514-nucleotide ribosomal RNA is filed under the name uncultured bacterium. Its description in RNAcentral is "partial 16S ribosomal RNA". It matches the Rfam family "Bacterial small subunit ribosomal RNA", at positions 28 to 523 of the family's 1533-position model. The record is from RNAcentral.
GAUGAACGCUGGCGGCGUGCCUAAUACAUGCAAGUCGAGCGCGAGAUUGAGGAUCUUGCUCCUCAUGAUCGAGCGGCGGACGGGUGAGUAACACGUAGGCAACCUACCCUUGAGAUUGGGAUAACUACCGGAAACGGUAGCUAAUACCGGAUACGACUUUCCUGCAUAAGCAGUUAAGUUAAAAGGCGGAUUUAUCUGCCGCUCAUGGAUGGGCCUGCGGUGCAUUAGCUUGUUGGUGAGAUAGUGGCUCACCAAGGCGACGAUGCAUAGCCGACCUGAGAGGGUGAUCGGACACACUGGGACUGAGACACGGCCCAGACUCCUACGGGAGGCAGCAGUAGGGAAUCUUCCGCAAUGGACGCAAGUCUGACGGAGCAACGCCGCGUGAGUGAUGAAGGGUUUCGGCUCGUAAAACUCUGUUGUUAAGGAAGAACACUUGAGGUAGUAACUGGCCUUGAGAUGACGGUACUUAACCAGAAAGCCACGGCUAACUACGUGCCAGCAGCCGCGGUAA